UCCCUGAUAUUUCAGUCGGUAAAGAAUCUGCCUGCAAUGCAGGAGACCCUGGUUCAAUUCCUGGGUUGGGAA
Molecule: transfer RNA, 72 nt
Organism: Ovis aries (sheep)
Lineage: Eukaryota; Metazoa; Chordata; Mammalia; Artiodactyla; Bovidae
Rfam family: tRNA
About the family: Transfer RNA (tRNA) molecules are approximately 80 nucleotides in length. Their secondary structure includes four short double-helical elements and three loops (D, anti-codon, and T loops).
Source: Rfam